ACGGGUGCGUAACGCGUGGGAAUCUGCCCUUGGGUUCGGAAUAACAGUGAGAAAUUACUGCUAAUACCGAAUGAUGACGUAAGUCCAAAGAUUUAUCGCCCAAGGAUGAGCCCGCGUAGGAUUAGCUAGUUGGUGAGGUAAAAGCUCACCAAGGCGACGAUCCUUAGCUGGUCUGAGAGGAUGAUCAGCCACACUGGGACUGAGACACGGCCCAGACUCCUACGGGAGGCAGCAGUGGGGAAUAUUGGACAAUGGGCGAAAGCCUGAUCCAGCAAUGCCGCGUGAGUGAUGAAGGCCUUAGGGUUGUAAAGCUCUUUUACCCGGGAUGAUAAUGACAGUACCGGGAGAAUAAGCUCCGGCUAACUCCGUGCCAGCAGCCGCGGUAAUACGGAGGGAGCUAGCGUUAUUCGGAAUUACUGGGCGUAAAGCGCACGUAGGCGGCUUUGUAAGUUAGAGGUGAAAGCCUGGAGCUCAACUCCAGAACUGCCUUUAAGACUGCAUCGCUUGAAUCCAGGAGAGGUGAGUGGAAUUCCGAGU
This 537-nucleotide ribosomal RNA is filed under the name uncultured bacterium. Its description in RNAcentral is "bacterial SSU rRNA". It matches the Rfam family "Bacterial small subunit ribosomal RNA", at positions 102 to 674 of the family's 1533-position model. The record is from RNAcentral.